This is an unclassified non-coding RNA of Macaca mulatta (Rhesus monkey), 149 nucleotides long. It matches the Rfam family "Metazoan signal recognition particle RNA". From Rfam's summary of the family: The signal recognition particle (SRP) is a universally conserved ribonucleoprotein. It is involved in the co-translational targeting of proteins to membranes. Lineage: Eukaryota; Metazoa; Chordata; Mammalia; Primates; Cercopithecidae. The record is from Ensembl.
GCCAGGUGUGGUGGUGCACACCUGUAAUCCCAGCUACUCAAGAGGCUGAGGUGGGAGGAUCACUUGAGCCCAGGAGGACAGUGCUGCAGUGAGCUAUGAUUUGCGCCACUGCAUUCCAGCCUGGGUGACACAGUGAGACCUGGUCUCUG